This 559-nucleotide ribosomal RNA is filed under the name Pseudomonas putida. RNAcentral's name for it is "bacterial SSU rRNA". It matches the Rfam family "Bacterial small subunit ribosomal RNA", at positions 149 to 709 of the family's 1533-position model. Lineage: Bacteria; Pseudomonadati; Pseudomonadota; Gammaproteobacteria; Pseudomonadales; Pseudomonadaceae. The record is from RNAcentral.
UUUCGAAGGAGCUAAUACCGCAUACGUCCUACGGAGAAAGCAGGGGACCUUCGGGCCUUGCGCUAUCAGAUGAGCCUAGGUCGGAUUAGCUAGUUGGUGGGGUAAUGGCUCACCAAGGCGACGAUCCGUAACUGGUCUGAGAGGAUGAUCAGUCACACUGGAACUGAGACACGGUCCAGACUCCUACGGGAGGCAGCAGUGGGGAAUAUUGGACAAUGGGCGAAAGCCUGAUCCAGCCAUGCCGCGUGUGUGAAGAAGGCUUCGGAUUGUAAAGCACUUUAAGUUGGGAGGAAGGCCAGUAAGUAAUACCUUGCUGUUUUGACGUUACCGACAGAAUAAGCACCGGCUAACUCUGUGCCAGCGGCCGCGGUAAUACAGAGGGUGCAAGCGUUAAUCGGAAUUACUGGGCGUAAAGCGCGCGUAGGUGGUUUGUUAAGUUGGAUGUGAAAGCCCCGGGCUCAACCUGGGAACUGCUUCCAAAACUGGCAAGCUAGAGUACGGUAGAGGGUGGUGGAAUUUCCUGUGUAGCGGUGAAAUGCGUAGAUAUAGGAAGGAAAGA